UGGACUCAAAACUACAUGAGGGCAAAUAAUCAGGGCAGCUGCUUUACAAAAGACCAUGUGCCCCAUGUCAGUUGGGAGAAGCUGAGCCUAGGAGUGGAAAGCAGGCUGUUUUCCCUAACUCUGAAGCAUUUUGCAACAGAGUUGGUUUUUUAACUAUAUACUUAACUGAGUGGUGGCUAAUUGGUGUCUGAGUGAUUUCAGCAGAGGAGGAGGAAGAGUCUCCAUGGAUUCCAGCUGAACAUUUCUACAAGCAAGUGAAGCCUACACACUGACACAAAACAGGUUUUGUUGCCAGAGGAGAUGCCAGACAGGGAGACAAGCUGACACCCAGAGGCCACGGCCGAAAGAAAUUGGCAUCUGGGUCUUGCAGCUGCCAAACCUUCUCUAUGAGUGGCCACAGCAAUCAGCUCCAGUGAUGUAGCAAACUGAGGAGGAGGAGGAGGAAA
This is a long non-coding RNA of Mauremys mutica (yellowpond turtle), 446 nucleotides long. RefSeq lists it as uncharacterized. The transcript has 3 exons. The record is from RefSeq and is a predicted model, not a curated record. NCBI's taxonomy places the organism in Eukaryota, Metazoa, Chordata, Testudines, Geoemydidae.